Molecule: ribosomal RNA, 468 nt
Filed under: uncultured bacterium
Lineage: Bacteria
Description: bacterial SSU rRNA
Rfam family: Bacterial small subunit ribosomal RNA
Source: RNAcentral
AGGACGAACGCUGGCGGCGUGCUUAACACAUGCAAGUUGACGGUAUGACAUGGAAGCUUGCUGAAGUGUCAUAUAGUAGCGGACGGGUGAGUAUGCAUGAGAAGCUGCCAUUGGAGGGGGACAACAGUUGGAAACGGCUGCUAAUACCCCGUAUGCCGGAGGGUGAAAGGGAGUAAUCCGCCCGAUGAGGUGCUCAUGUCCUAUCAGCUGGUUGGUGGGGUAACGGCCUACCAAGGCGACGACGGGUAGCCGGCCUGAGAGGGUGAACGGCCACACUGGAACUGAGAUACGGUCCAGACUCCUACGGGAGGCAGCAGUGGGGAAUAUUGGGCAAAAUGGGGGCAACCCUGACCCAGCGACGCCGCGUGGGGGAAGACGGCCUUCGGGUUGUAAACCUCUUUUGUACGGGAAGAAGGAAGUGACGGUACUGUACGAAUAAGUCCCGGCUAACUACGUGCCAGCAGCUGC